This 731-nucleotide ribosomal RNA is filed under the name Oenococcus oeni. Its description in RNAcentral is "bacterial LSU rRNA". It matches the Rfam family "Bacterial large subunit ribosomal RNA", at positions 1866 to 2596 of the family's 2925-position model. The record is from RNAcentral. Lineage: Bacteria; Bacillati; Bacillota; Bacilli; Lactobacillales; Lactobacillaceae.
GUGCUGGAAGGUUAAAAGGAGGACUUAGCUUCGGCGAAGGUCUUAAUUGAAGCCCCAGUGAACGGCGGCCGUAACUAUAACGGUCCUAAGGUAGCGAAAUUCCUUGUCGGGUAAGUUCCGACCCGCAUGAAAGGCGUAAUGAUUUGGGCGCUGUCUCAACAAUAGACUCGGUGAAAUUUAAAUUCCAGUGAAGAUGCUGGGUACCCGCGACAGGACGGAAAGACCCCGUGGAGCUUUACUGUAGCUUGAUAUUGAAUGUUUGUGCUGCAUGUGCAGGAUAGGUAGGAGACUUUGAAGUCGGAACGCUAGUUUCGAUUGAGUCACCCUUGAGAUACUACCUCUGUUGUAUGAACGUUCUAACUCUGAUCAGUUAUCCUGAUCGAAGACAGUGUCUGGCAGGCAGUUUGACUGGGGCGGUCGCCUCCUAAAAGAUAACGGAGGCGCUCAAAGGUUUGCUCAGAAUGGUUGGAAAUCAUUCGUAGCGUGUAAAGGCAUAAGCAAGCUUGACUGUGAGACUGACAAGUCGAGCAGGUACGAAAGUAGGACUUAGUGAUCCGGUGGUUCCGUAUGGAAGGGCCAUCGCUCAACGGACAAAAGCUACCCCGGGGAUAACAGGCUCAUCUCCCCCAAGAGUCCACAUCGACGGGGAGGUUUGGCACCUCGAUGUCGGCUCAUCGCAUCCUGGGGCUGUAGUCGGUCCCAAGGGUUGGGCUGUUCGCCCAUUAAAGCGG